AAGCCAGUAAAUUCCGUGAUCUCGCAAACACAGCCCCCAUCACCACCCCAAGGAACACAAGUGGCAGCAACCGUUGUGCGUUGAAAUGUGCCAAGGCAAAAGCGACCGCACUGACCAGAAUUGCCGGCCAUACUGGCAUGUACCUGGUCAGUGAGGGUAGAAGAAAGCCACGGAACACAAUCUCCUCCCAAAUAGGAGCGCACACUGACACCACCACCGCAUACAGAGCCAUGGCAACCGGAUCGCGAGCAACAAUCGACUGCUCCACACUGGACACACCCACGGGCGUUAUAGGCAGAAUAGGAACCAGUUUGAGGUUAACCUGAGACAGGAAGUUGACAAGUGGAAAGAGGAGGCAGCCCAAGACUACAUCAAGGUGCCAGCUUCCUCGCAGGCUAAGACUGAACCAGCCAGAUGGAAGGGGGAAG
This 428-nucleotide unclassified non-coding RNA is filed under the name Hevea brasiliensis (rubber tree). Lineage: Eukaryota; Viridiplantae; Streptophyta; Magnoliopsida; Malpighiales; Euphorbiaceae. The record is from RNAcentral.